RNAcentral lists this ribosomal RNA (261 nucleotides) under uncultured bacterium. RNAcentral describes it as "partial 16S ribosomal RNA". It matches the Rfam family "Bacterial small subunit ribosomal RNA", at positions 524 to 784 of the family's 1533-position model. The record is from RNAcentral.
UACGGAGGGUGCGAGCGUUAAUCGGAAUUACUGGGCGUAAAGCGCGCGCAGGCGGUUUGGUAAGCUGGAUGUGAAAGCCCUGGGCUCAACCUGGGAACUGCAUCCAGAACUGCCAAGCUAGAGUAUGGUAGAGGGCAGUGGAAUUUCCGGUGUAGCGGUGAAAUGCGUAGAGAUCAGGAGGAACAUCCAUGGCGAAGGCAGCUACCUGGACCAACACUGACACUGAGGCACGAAAGCGUGGGGAGCAAACAGGAUUAGAUA